RNAcentral lists this non-coding RNA (44 nucleotides) under Trypanosoma brucei brucei. The record is from RNAcentral. Lineage: Eukaryota; Euglenozoa; Kinetoplastea; Trypanosomatida; Trypanosomatidae.
AAACAUCAAAAUAAGUGAAUCGUAGUAAAGAGAAUUAAGUUAAU